GUCGAGCGAACGGAUAAGGAGCUUGCUCCUUUGAAGUUAGCGGCGGACGGGUGAGUAACACGUGGGUAACCUACCUAUAAGACUGGAAUAACUUCGGGAAACCGGAGCUAAUGCCGGAUAACAUAUAGAACCGCAUGGUUCUAUAGUGAAAGAUGGUUUUGCUAUCACUUAUAGAUGGACCCGCGCCGUAUUAGCUAGUUGGUAAGGUAAUGGCUUACCAAGGCGACGAUACGUAGCCGACCUGAGAGGGUGAUCGGCCACACUGGAACUGAGACACGGUCCAGACUCCUACGGGAGGCAGCAGUAGGGAAUCUUCCGCAAUGGGCGAAAGCCUGACGGAGCAACGCCGCGUGAGUGAUGAAGGUUUUCGGAUCGUAAAACUCUGUUAUUAGGGAAGAACAAAUGCGUAAGUAACUGUGCGCAUCUUGACGGUACCUAAUCAGAAAGCCACGGCUAACUACGUGCCAGCAGCCGCGGUAAUACGUAGGUGGCAAGCGUUAUCCGGAAUUAUUGGGCGUAAAGCGCGCGUAGGCGGUUUCUUAAGUCUGAUGUGAAAAGCCCACGGCUCAACCGUGGAGGGGUCAUUGGAAACUG
This 594-nucleotide ribosomal RNA is filed under the name bacterium 06-L049640-122-012-F01. RNAcentral's name for it is "bacterial SSU rRNA". It matches the Rfam family "Bacterial small subunit ribosomal RNA", at positions 61 to 635 of the family's 1533-position model. The record is from RNAcentral.